CAUCCUCAGGGUCUAACGUGCAGGUGGCAGGACCCUGGCCCUUCCUGAGUAUCUGGUUGUGGGUUUUGUCUCCGCAGCGUGCAGGGAUGGGUGCAGACUCCGUCCAAGGUCUUGGCAAGAAGAGAAACUGCCACCGCAGAGGGGCUGGCUGAGGGGCUGGGAUGGGGACUCCGGGACGCGGAGCCGUACACCAGCCCCUUCCACCCAGGCAGAAGGUCCAUUGCGCUCUGCCCCACAGAGCCUGUUCCUAUGCCAGCCAGGGCACUCCCAGGCCCGUCUGCAGCCAGAACACAGCCGGUUCCGUGUGCUUGUCCUCAGGACCCAUUAGGAAUGAAUCCAGGCCUCGGUCCUGGCCUCCUCGCUGAGGCUGGACGCUCAGGCAUCCCCUUCAGCCCCUUUCUCUAGACCUUCCUGCUGAACAAACGAAAACAUCUCACAGCCCUGCAACAGCCAGGAGCUGCUGGUGGAGCUCCAUGCCCGGCCGCAGAGAGAGGAGGCGCCUGGGCAGCCCGCCAGCACCCGGGCUCCCACAGCGGAAGCGGCUUCUUCGGCUCUAUUUGGAAAGCUGUUCUUUCCGCAGUGCCUUUGACAAGAAUCGAUUUGAGUGAGCCAGCGUGUCAAUACAGGCUAGCACAGGACUGGCCUCAGGGCCACAUUGGGGCGAAAUGCAUGGCAAAAGCAUGGCCAGGCAAGAGGUGGGACCUGUGAGGUUGGCUACAGCGACCGUGGGCACUGGGUUCGCGGCUCCUCAGCCCUGAGAGGGGACCCAGGCCCAGGCGGGCUCCCAGCCUCCAGAUCUUCUCCCCUUGAGACCUCGCCUUCUGCACAGCGACAGCAAAGAGCCCCUGAGUCCCACUCUGCAGGGAUGUACUGCAUUUCCAGAAAGUUCCUUCCGGGUGCAGAGUGACACGUGAGCCCUGGGGACUCGCUCCGACUUGGUACUGAUUUUCUCCACGGAGGACCCGCAGUCACGGCCCGUGUCUGCACAGCCCCUCGGAUCCCGCGGAGGAAUUCAGCCGGCCCCUCCCCCGUGCGGUUCCCUGCUGUUCAAUCCGAAAACCAUGGAGGCAAAGUCGGGCCGGGUUCAGGCUCCAUGCAAAGUGCCCUUUGCAAGGUCCCCCUGUGGCCAAGCCCAGCUCCAUGAGGGUACAGUGAGAACACGGGAGAGGACUUAGAGACUGCCUGCCACCACCGAGGGAGGCGGAGCGGGAUUCGCACCCCCGUCAUCGCUGGGCCCACACGCCGCCGACGGCUUCCGCGUGUGGCCAUCUGUCUCUCAGAAACCCUCUGGCAGAGGGACCCAGCAGAUGACUCGGGGGCUGUUCACACUCUGAAACCUGCUUGGAGUCAAAACACUGCUGGCGAGCCUCCGCGGCAAACCCAACCCAGACAGUCUUCCAUGGUGGCCCCCGCAGUGGCGGGCACUCUGCCCACUCCCUGCCAGCCCCUGCCCGCUGGCCUCCAGGCCCGGCCAGGCCCCUGACCGGUCUCCUGACCCAGCAUGCUGCUCCCCCUUGGGCCUGGCUUCCUUGCCGGCUGGGAUUCCCAGGCCUCUCUAGCCCAGCCCUGCAGCAGGAGCCCCGAGGGAGGCUUGGCAGCUGCAGAGGUGAGUGGGCCACGCGUAGCCCGGAGGCCAGCAGGACCAGGAGCCCCUCACAGCGCAGCAGCCACAGCAUCACAAGCCACUUCCACUCCUGGGCGACCUGGGGGCCCCCAUCCCGGUCUGAGCUGCCCCUUAUUGUGACCUGGGGCCCCCUGUGGUGGGCUCCCCUGGUGCCCCCAGAUCCAGCCUCAGGGAGGUUCCAGAUGCCGGCCAGGCCUCAGCGCCUCCACCCAGGAUCAUACAUUCCUAUCUCGGCGCUUCCGCCCUCCA
Molecule: non-coding RNA, 1873 nt
Organism: Macaca mulatta (Rhesus monkey)
Lineage: Eukaryota; Metazoa; Chordata; Mammalia; Primates; Cercopithecidae
Source: RefSeq, a predicted model, not a curated record